UGACACCAUGACCAAGCUCCGCAGUGACAUCAGAGGAAGUGAUUUCUCCUUUCACGGUCUCUCUGCCCAUUUCCCUGCCCUACCCACACUCCCCUGUAUUACCCAGCACUUGGAGGCUGGCGUAAGUGCCUUGCACACUGGCUUCUGCGGUUUUCUCCGCCUCCCGGGCUGUCCCAGCUGAGUCCUGGACGUCAGAGCUCCCUCGCACCUGUUCUUCGCCAAACUCCCAGCGCGUGGAGAGGGCCUCGGCGGUCCCUGCGGAGAUAGAUAAUUGAAAGCUGGAGCUGGGAAGUUGAAAUGCAAUUAUCUAAGCAACAUCUUCACAUCUGUUUCUGUCUGAGGAAUUCUGCCUUCACAAAUCCCAAGAGAUGGCCUUAUAAAGAUCUGCUCAGCAGUGGCAAAAGCUAGGUUGCCUGAGUCUUUAGGGAAGACCCUCAUACCUGUACCUCCCUCGACAGAUCUAUGCAACUCUAACACAACAAACAGAUAAGUCUACUAAUUACUCACUCUAUUAAUUAUUUCACUUUUUU
RNAcentral lists this long non-coding RNA (530 nucleotides) under Heterocephalus glaber (naked mole-rat). RNAcentral describes it as "lncRNA (ENSHGLG00100044731.1)". Lineage: Eukaryota; Metazoa; Chordata; Mammalia; Rodentia; Bathyergidae. The record is from RNAcentral.